This 562-nucleotide long non-coding RNA is filed under the name Vigna radiata. RNAcentral describes it as "long non-coding RNA (VRAD_LNC010409)". The record is from RNAcentral. Lineage: Eukaryota; Viridiplantae; Streptophyta; Magnoliopsida; Fabales; Fabaceae.
CAACUUUUGUAGAAGUCUCUUGCAUUGCUCACGUAAAUUGUAUGCUUGGGUGUGUGAAUUCAUUUCUUUGCUGCAUGGAGAAGGUUAAGGCAUGGUUUUCAAUUGGAUGUUUAAGCAUAUUUUAAUUUGUUUUGAGAAUUGAUGCACAAUGGACAAAAGAAAACACAUUUGGUGGUUAAGUGAAGAUAGAAUUUUGAAGUUUGACUUGGUGGAGUGUGGGUCACGGCCAUGUGCCUUUUCUUGGCCAUUUGGACUUUUAAAAUUAAUUUUUAAUUGUCAUUUAGUCAAAGUAAUUUGCUAGGAUUAAAUUAGGCUUGUUGGUUUCCUUGGUUUUUAGUUAAUUUAGUUACUAGGUUGAGUUUAAUGUGUUUGAGUUAGUCUUGCAUUUAAUUAUUUUUAACUGUGUUUGUUAAUUUAUUUGCAGGAGUAUUUGAUGUUUGAAUGUUGUCUAAGGUUUUUAUAGUGUUAGUUUAAUUACCAUGCUAGCUUAAAUUAGUUUGUUUGCAUUUGUGUCUAUAUUCAAUUCUUUAACUUUUGCAAAACACUUUUAAACCCCUCCCCC